GACGAACGCUGGCGGCGUGCUUAACACAUGCAAGUCGUACGGUAAGGCCCUUUCGGGGGUACACGAGUGGCGAACGGGUGAGUAACACGUGAGUAACCUGCCCACAACUUUGGGAUAACGCUAGGAAACUGGUGCUAAUACUGGAUAUGUGCUCCUGCUGCAUGGUGGGGGUUGGAAAGCUCCGGCGGUUGUGGAUGGACUCGCGGCCUAUCAGCUUGUUGGUGGGGUAGUGGCCUACCAAGGCGGCGACGGGUAGCCGGCCUGAGAGGGUGACCGGCCACAUUGGGACUGAGAUACGGCCCAGACUCCUACGGGAGGCAGCAGUGGGGAAGAUUGCACAAUGGGCGCAAGCCUGAUGCAGCACCGCCGCGUGCGGGAGAACGGCCUUCGGGUUGUAAACCGCUUUCAGCAGGGACGAAGCUUUUUGUGACGGUACCUGCAGAAGAAGCACCGGCUAACUACGUG
RNAcentral lists this ribosomal RNA (465 nucleotides) under uncultured bacterium. Its description in RNAcentral is "partial 16S ribosomal RNA". It matches the Rfam family "Bacterial small subunit ribosomal RNA", at positions 28 to 507 of the family's 1533-position model. The record is from RNAcentral.